CAUUAACAAAAUGUCAUUAAAGGCUAUGUUUGUACUAGUGCGAAGAGCGUGUCAACAACUUUAUAAAUAUAAAAAUAAAAUACACAGAAAGGUACCUUAGAAAUUUUUGAAUAGAUUCCUUAGUCAACUCUUGAGUUGAAUAAACUAAUAUUUGUAUAUCACUAAUAUAUGUAUAUAUAGAUUGUUCAACAUUCUAAAUCUAAAUAAAGUAACAUUUUUUUUUUGAGUUACCAGUAGAAUGCGAUUUCGCUAACGAAAAACAAAGAGAAAGAUCUCAUUCAAAGAGAAAGAUAUCAAAUAUCUAGAGUUUCUACUGGUUGUUGAUAAUACUUCACAAGUAGAAAUGUCAGAGUUAUACAAAUUCGCAAAGAGUAAGCAAAUUGUAGGUCAACUAACUAAAUCUUUAAUGACAAUAAUAAAGAUAUACACCAUGAAUAACAAUUUUUUGAAACUCUGGCUCUUAUAACUUCAAGCAACACUUUAGGGAAUGACUUGGGGGAGAAAGAAAGUAAAGCACGCGUAACAUGGUUAAGACAUAAAAUAAAAAUAUGAGACUGACUCCUCACAUCUAGCUCCCUUGCUAUCCAUCUCGUCUCAGAACACAGUACAUGCAGUCAACCUGUUGUAAGGGUGAGCGUCGUCAUCGCUUGCUCACAUAUAGGACUAGCCCACCAAUGCGAGGUUUGAAAUCACUAAACCCUUGACAUAUGCUCCAAGCCGCUAAUUCCCUUCUCGGAAUCCAAUGUCUCCACGCAAGCUAAAUCGCCUGAAGUACAAUUGUAGAGUAUAGUAAUUUAGCAACGAAGCAACAAUAGUGAUGAAAGAUGUAUUUUAUGCUAUGAUAUUAACGUAUUUUUGAUAAAGUAGUAUGAGGUUCACAACCAAAACCAAUUUGCAAUGAAUGGAGAGGCCUAAACCCUUAUAAACCCACAAACAAUAUCCCAUAUUCCCGAUGUGGGAUUCAUAUCUUAACACGCCCUCGCAUGUAUGGCAAAUUUUGAAGCCUAACACGUGGACAACAUUUUAGGUGACGUGGAGUGCGUGUGGCCUUGUGGCCUUUGGGCUUCACACGUGGACAUGGGUAACCCGCUCUGAUACCAUGAUAAAGUAGUCUAGGGUUCACAUCUAAAACCAAUUGGCAAUGAAUGGAGAGGCCCAAACCCUAAUAAACCCCUUUUAGCUAAGUUAUGUCCUUAAUAACACCAUUUCUAAUUUGUUUCAGUGUUGUAGGUCAAAAGAGGCAACAUUACACAAAAGAAGGCUAAAAUGCAAGAAUUGAGAGGAAUCCUGGUCAAAGGAGGAUUCCCAGUGCAACAAAGAGUCUCAAUGAGUUGCAGAAAUGAGUAAAUCAAAGGAUAAGUCGUUUGGGAAACUUUCCUGUUUCGAAACGGGAAACUUGCUAUUUCAUUUAAGAAACUUUCUUAUUUUGAUUUAGGAAACUUAUUACUUAUGAAGUUUUCAUGUUUUGACUUUUCUUAUUCAUUUUGAGAAACUUUCUUUCCUCAUGAGACAAAGAAGCCAUGUGAAGCUAGAAACCCUAACCCAACAUGAAAGAGGAUUUCUUUUGGACGUGUAUAAGAAGGGACGACAAAUCCCUUGGGAUUUUACCGUGAUCAAGGGAUUCUAGGGUUAGAAAAUCGUCCUAAAUCAAGGGAUUUUGCGUGCAAUAUAAAUCA
This 1676-nucleotide long non-coding RNA is filed under the name Fragaria vesca (wild strawberry). RNAcentral's name for it is "long non-coding RNA (FVES_LNC002477)". The record is from RNAcentral. Lineage: Eukaryota; Viridiplantae; Streptophyta; Magnoliopsida; Rosales; Rosaceae.